RNAcentral lists this ribosomal RNA (465 nucleotides) under uncultured bacterium. RNAcentral describes it as "partial 16S ribosomal RNA". It matches the Rfam family "Bacterial small subunit ribosomal RNA", at positions 355 to 813 of the family's 1533-position model. The record is from RNAcentral.
UAGGGAAUCUUCGGCAAUGGACGAAAGUCUGACCGAGCAACGCCGCGUGAGUGAAGAAGGUUUUCGGAUCGUAAAACUCUGUUGGUAGAGAAGAACGUUGGUGAGAGUGGAAAGCUCAUCAAGUGACGGUAACUACCCAGAAAGGGACGGCUAACUACGUGCCAGCAGCCGCGGUAAUACGUAGGUCCCGAGCGUUGUCCGGAUUUAUUGGGCGUAAAGCGAGCGCAGGUGGUUUAUUAAGUCUGGUGUAAAAGGCAGUGGCUCAACCAUUGUAUGCAUUGGAAACUGGUAGACUUGAGUGCAGGAGAGGAGAGUGGAAUUCCAUGUGUAGCGGUGAAAUGCGUAGAUAUAUGGAGGAACACCGGUGGCGAAAGCGGCUCUCUGGCCUGUAACUGACACUGAGGCUCGAAAGCGUGGGGAGCAAACAGGAUUAGAUACCCUGGUAGUCCACGCGUAAACGAUGAG